CUUGCUCCUGGUGGCGAGUGGCGAACGGGUGAGUAAUACAUCGGAACGUACCCUGAAGUGGGGGAUAACGUAGCGAAAGUUACGCUAAUACCGCAUAUUCUGUGAGCAGGAAAGAGGGGGAUCGCAAGACCUCUUGCUUUAGGAGCGGCCGAUGUCGGAUUAGCUAGUUGGUGAGGUAAAGGCUCACCAAGGCGACGAUCCGUAGCGGGUCUGAGAGGAUGAUCCGCCACACUGGGACUGAGACACGGCCCAGACUCCUACGGGAGGCAGCGGUGGGGAAUUUUGGACAAUGGGCGCAAGCCUGAUCCAGCCAUGCCGCGUGAGUGAAGAAGGCCUUCGGGUUGUAAAGCUCUUUCGGUGGGGAAGAAAUUGCACAGGAUAAUACCUUGUGUAGAUGACGGUACCCGCAUAAGAAGCACCGGCUAACUACGUG
RNAcentral lists this ribosomal RNA (433 nucleotides) under uncultured bacterium. RNAcentral's name for it is "bacterial SSU rRNA". It matches the Rfam family "Bacterial small subunit ribosomal RNA", at positions 79 to 507 of the family's 1533-position model. The record is from RNAcentral.